RNAcentral lists this ribosomal RNA (434 nucleotides) under uncultured bacterium. Its description in RNAcentral is "bacterial SSU rRNA". It matches the Rfam family "Bacterial small subunit ribosomal RNA", at positions 68 to 509 of the family's 1533-position model. The record is from RNAcentral.
UGAAGCCUUCGGGAGUGAGUUUGAAGGCGAUAGUGGCGGACGGGUGAGUAACGCGUGAGCAAUCUGCCUUUAAGAGGGGGACAACAGUUGGAAAACGACUGCUAAUACCGCAUAAGACCACACUGACGCAUGUCAGAGGGGUCAAAGGAAAGAACCGCUUAAAGAUGAGCUCGCGUCCCAUUAGUUAGUUGGCGGGGUAAAGGCCCACCAAGACGACGAUGGGUAGCCGACCUGAGAGGGUGAUCGGCCACACUGGAACUGAGACACGGUCCAGACUCCUACGGGAGGCAGCAGUGGGGAAUAUUGGGCAAUGGGCGCAAGCCUGACCCAGCAACGCCGCGUGAAGGAAGAAGGUCUUCGGAUUGUAAACAUCUGUCCUAUGGGACGAAGGAAGUGACGGUACCAUAGGAGGAAGCCCCGGCUAACUACGUGCC